GUGCAGCAGUCGCGAAAACUCCGCAAUACGCGAAAGCGUGACGGGGCUACCCCGAGUGUCGUCCGCUGAGGACGACUUUUCCACGCUGUAAGGAGGCGUGGGAAUAAGGAGAGGGCAAGUCUGGUGUCAGCCGCCGCGGUAAUACCAGCUCCCCGAGUGGUUGGGACGAUUAUUGGGUCUGAAGCGUCCGUAGCCGGCCGGAAAAGUUCCCCGUUAAAUCCAACGAUUCAAUCGUUGGACUGCGGGAGAUACUGUUGAGCUAGGAGGCGGGAGAGGCCGACGGUAUUCCCGGAGUAGGGGUGAAAUCUUAUAAUGCCGGGAGGACCACCAGUGGCGAAGGCUGUCGGCUAGAACGCGCUCGACGGUGAGGGACGAAAGCUGGGGGAGCGAACCGGAUUAGAUACCCGGGUAGUCC
Molecule: ribosomal RNA, 415 nt
Filed under: uncultured crenarchaeote
Lineage: Archaea; Thermoproteati; Thermoproteota
Description: partial 16S ribosomal RNA
Rfam family: Archaeal small subunit ribosomal RNA
Source: RNAcentral